GCCCAAGUGGCUCAGUUGGUUGAGCGUCCGACUUCGGCUCGGGUCAUGAUCUCGCGGUCUGUGAGUUCGAGCCCCAUGUCGGGCU
RNAcentral lists this transfer RNA (85 nucleotides) under Felis catus (domestic cat). It matches the Rfam family "tRNA". From Rfam's summary of the family: Transfer RNA (tRNA) molecules are approximately 80 nucleotides in length. Their secondary structure includes four short double-helical elements and three loops (D, anti-codon, and T loops). The record is from Rfam by way of RNAcentral. Lineage: Eukaryota; Metazoa; Chordata; Mammalia; Carnivora; Felidae.